Molecule: ribosomal RNA, 394 nt
Filed under: uncultured bacterium
Lineage: Bacteria
Description: bacterial SSU rRNA
Rfam family: Bacterial small subunit ribosomal RNA
Source: RNAcentral
GUGCCAGCCGCCGCGGUAAUACGAAGGGGGCUAGCGUUGUUCGGAAUUACUGGGCGUAAAGGGCGCGUAGGCGGCCCUCCAAGUCAGAUGUGAAAGCCCCGGGCUUAACCUGGGAAUUGCAUUUGAGACUGUGGGGCUUGAGUUUCGGAGAGGUGGGUGGAAUUCCCAGUGUAGAGGUGAAAUUCGUAGAUAUUGGGAAGAACACCGGUGGCGAAGGCGGCCCACUGGACGAACACUGACGCUGAGGCGCGAAAGCGUGGGGAGCAAACAGGAUUAGAUACCCUGGUAGUCCACGCUGUAAACGAUGAGUGCUAGACGUUGGGGCCCUUAGGGUUUCAGUGUCGCAGCUAACGCAUUAAGCACUCCGCCUGGGGAGUACGGCCGCAAGGUUAAA